GCAGGUGUAGUGUAGUCUGGUCAGCACGAGAGCCUUCCAAGCUUUCAACCCGGGUCCAAAUCCCGGCACCUGCA
This 74-nucleotide transfer RNA is filed under the name Thermoplasmatales archaeon. RNAcentral's name for it is "tRNA-Gly". It matches the Rfam family "tRNA". From Rfam's summary of the family: Transfer RNA (tRNA) molecules are approximately 80 nucleotides in length. Their secondary structure includes four short double-helical elements and three loops (D, anti-codon, and T loops). Lineage: Archaea; Methanobacteriati; Thermoplasmatota; Thermoplasmata; Thermoplasmatales. The record is from RNAcentral. RNAcentral also lists the same sequence under 3 other names.